Molecule: ribosomal RNA, 424 nt
Filed under: uncultured bacterium
Lineage: Bacteria
Description: bacterial SSU rRNA
Rfam family: Bacterial small subunit ribosomal RNA
Source: RNAcentral
GUGGGGAAUUUUGCGCAAUGGGGGAAACCCUGACGCAGCAACGCCGCGUGCGGGACGAAGGCCCUCGGGUUGUAAACCGCUUUCAGCAGGGGAGAAACUGACGGUACCUGCAGAAGAAGCUCCGGCUAACUACGUGCCAGCAGCCGCGGUAAUACGUAGGGAGCGAGCGUUAUCCGGAUUCAUUGGGCGUAAAGCGCGCGUAGGCGGCCGGCUAAGUCGGGAGUCAAAGCCCGGGGCUCAACCCCGGCCCGCUCCCGAAACUGGCCGGCUUGAGUCUGGCAGGGGAAGGCGGAAUUCCCAGUGUAGCGGUGAAAUGCGCAGAUAUUGGGAAGAACACCGGUGGCGAAGGCGGCCUUCUGGGCCACGACUGACGCUGAGGCGCGAAAGCUGGGGGAGCGAACAGGAUUAGAAACCCUGGUAGUCC